Molecule: long non-coding RNA, 2945 nt
Organism: Oryctolagus cuniculus (rabbit)
Lineage: Eukaryota; Metazoa; Chordata; Mammalia; Lagomorpha; Leporidae
Source: Ensembl
UGGCAUCGUUACAUAUACUUGAGCAGUAGAACCUGUCUCUUGAUGAUCUAUGCUUGCACACUGCCAGAGGCAUCUUGUCUACAUCUCUGUUGCAGACAUAACCCACAUUUCUCCAAACAUAGCCCAUCCUCUGUAUCUUUUAAGUUCUCUUCUUCCAGCUCAUUAUCCAUCUAAACCUAGGACAUAAAAUUGAAGCCACUCCCAUACUUCCAAGAUUUCCAGAGGCAACAAUGACCACUGUAGCUUGCAGUGGUCAUGAAUGACAACUGUUUCUGUGAAGCAUCUAAGACUAAUCUUGAGAAGAAAUUGAAUAUAUCUCAUCCUCAGUCUCACCUCAGUGUAUAGAUUCUUCUACGUCAUCUACAUCCUGGCAUUCUAACAGGAGAAAAGUGAAUAACUUUUAAUUCUUUUAGAAUGCAGAUAGGGUAGUUUCCCAGAAUUAGCGGGGAAAAGAUGAGGUUCAUUGUUUUCAAGACAAAGAGGUCUGGAUAUUGAUUUUCAUGCCAAGAAGGUUUUGCUCAAAGGGUCAGCACAUGAAAUAUUUCUCUCACAGUAUGCCAUUGUCAAAUAGAGUUUAUGGGUAUUACUGUGUCAUUGUUGGGAACUGGAUUGCACAUGUACUAGGACCUCCCUAAUUUGACCGUCCCUGUUGGAAUUUAUUUGCAGCAAAAGAAAUGACGCAAAUGAAGGGUGGUUGCUGGGACUUAAUCUGCCCCAGCAGGAUCAGUGGGUGCUUUCCACCUCAAGUAGAGCCUGAGUUGGUACCAGGGCUGAUCAUGGGUGAAUAUUGUUGGUGCAUUGUCAUGAAAGCCAAGCUGGCUAUGCAGCAGCAUUAUCCUGGUGGUGGCUGGACGAUAGUGCUGGAAGAGUACUCGUGGUGCACAAGGUUUGGAGUCUAUGGGAAUUCCCUUGAGGACAGAGUGCCACAUGAAGCCAAACCUGCAUUGUGUGAAAACCGAUCUCUAGCUGAAGGGCAUCGCAUCACAGCAUGCACACACCUUGCAGAUGCACCUUACAUGUGGCAUGCCUCCUGGGGGGACAAGCUGGAAAUACUGUCCCAGGCCUGGGCCAGGGUCCAGCAGCCCUUAGCCCAGCAGUCCAUCCACUGGAUAGAGGCCAUUGAGGGGUAUGAUACCUCCUCCCAAAAGGAUGAAGUGGUAUCUGCAGACAGAGCUGAGGUUAUCCCCAGGGUGUGUGGAGAUCCACCCCCACUGGAAGGGCCAGAUGCCAUCGUGCCUAUCCUCAAGGAUGAUGGGUCCUACAUGCUCUGUGGAUACUGGGCAGAUGAACCUGAAGCACCAGCCCAGGCCUGGGCUAGGGCCUGGCACUUUACAACCCAGCAACCCCUCUGCUGUGCUGAGGCCAUUGUGGUGGAAGACUCCUCAAACAAAAAGGAGAAAGUCAAGGGGGCAUCCUCAGAUCAGGCUGAGGCUAUGUCCAGGGUGGGUGAAGAUCCACCCCCACUGGAAGGGCCAGAUGUCAUCACACCUAUCCUCAAGGAUGAUGGGUCCUACAUGCUCUGUGGAUUUUGGGCAGAUGAUCCUGAAGCACCAGUCCAGGCCUGUGCUGAGCCCUGGUACCUUACAACCCAGAAGCCCAUUUGCUGUGCUGAAGCCAUUGCGGUGGAAGAGCCUUCCUGCAAAAAGGAGGAAGGGGACUCAGCAUCUGCAGAGCAGGCCGAGGCUAUACCCAGGGUGUGUGGAGAUCCACCCCCACUGGAAGGGCCAGAUGCCAUCGUGCCUAUCCUCAAGGAAGAUGGAUCCUACCUGCUCUGUGGAUAUUGGGCUGAUGAGCCUGAAGCACCAGUCCAGGCCUGGGCUGGGGCCUGGCACUUUACAACCCAGCAGCCCAUCUGCAGUGCUGAGGACACUUUGGUGGAAGAGCCCUCAUUUCAAGAGGAGGAAGGUGUGGUGGCACCUGCAGACCAGGCUGAGGCUAAUCAGAGCCUCUGCUCUGCAUCACACCUCGGGGUGUGUGAAGAUCCACCCCCACUGGAAGGGCCAGAUGUCAUUGUGCCUAUUCUCAAGGAUGAUGGGUCCUACAUGCUCUGUGCAAUUUGGAUGGAUGAUCCUGAAGCACCAGUCCAGGCCUGGGCUGGAGCCUGGCACCCUACAACCCAGCAGCCCAUCUGCUGUGCUGAGGCCAUUGUGGUGAAAGAUGCCACCUACCAAAAAGAGAAAGUCAUGUUGGCAACUGCUGAUUGGGCUGAGGCUACCUCCAGGGUGAGUGGAGAUCCACCCCCACUGGAAGGGCCAGAUGCCAUCGUGCCCAUCCUCAAGGAUGAUGGGUCCUACAUGCUCUGUGCAUAUUGGGCUGAUGAGCCUGAAGCCCCAGUCCAGGCCUGGGCUGGGGCCCUGCACCCUAUAAUCCAGCAGCCCAUCUGCUGUGCGGAGGCCAUUGUGGUGGAAGAUGCCUCCAGCCAGAAGGAGAAAAUAGAGGUGGCAUUUGCAGAGCAGACUGAGGCCACACCCAGGGUGGGUGAAGAUCCACCCCCACUGGAAGGGCCAGAUGUCAUCGUGCCUAUCCUCAAGGAUGACGGAUCCUACCUGCUCUGUGCAUAUUGGGCAGAUGAGCCUGAAGCCCCAGUCCAGGCCUGGGCUGGGGCCCUGCACCCUACAGCCCAGCAGCCCACCUGCUGUGCUGAGGCCAUUCUCGUGGAAGAGCCCUCAUCACAAGAGGAGGAAGGGAAAGUGGCACGUGCAGACCAGGCCGAGGCUAAUCAGAGGGUGUGUGGAGAUCCACCCCCACUGGAAGGGCCAGAUGUCAUUGUGCCUAUCCUCAAGGAUGAUGGUUCCUAUGUGCUCUGUGCAUAUUGGGCAGAUGAGCCUGAAGCACCAGCCCAGGUCUGGGCUGAGGCCUGGCAUGCAAAAACCCAGCAGUCCAUCUGCUGUGCUGAGGCUUUUUGGGUGCUAAGAACUUCCUCUGGUGGAUACCAUGAAACCUGA